This 416-nucleotide ribosomal RNA is filed under the name uncultured microorganism. RNAcentral describes it as "bacterial SSU rRNA". It matches the Rfam family "Bacterial small subunit ribosomal RNA", at positions 9 to 421 of the family's 1533-position model. The record is from RNAcentral.
GAGUUUGAUCGUGGCUCAGAUUGAACGCUGGCGGCAUGCCUUACACAUGCAAGUCGAACGGCAGCAUGAUCUAGCUUGCUAGAUUGAUGGCGAGUGGCGAACGGGUGAGUAAUACAUCGGAACGUGCCCUGUAGUGGGGGAUAACUAGUCGAAAGAUUAGCUAAUACCGCAUACGACCUGAGGGUGAAAGUGGGGGACCGCAAGGCCUCAUGCUAUAGGAGCGGCCGAUGUCUGAUUAGCUAGUUGGUGGGGUAAAGGCCCACCAAGGCGACGAUCAGUAGCUGGUCUGAGAGGACGAUCGGCCACACUGGGACUGAGACACGGCCCAGACUCCUACGAGAGGCAGCAGGGGGGAAUUUUGGACAAUGGGCGAAAGCCUGAUCCAGCAAUGCCGCGUGUGUGAAGAAGGCCUUCGG